RNAcentral lists this ribosomal RNA (870 nucleotides) under uncultured bacterium. RNAcentral describes it as "bacterial SSU rRNA". It matches the Rfam family "Bacterial small subunit ribosomal RNA", at positions 627 to 1498 of the family's 1533-position model. The record is from RNAcentral.
CCAAAACUGCUUAUCCUAGAGUAUGGGAGAGGUAGAUGGAAUUUCUGGUGUAGGGGUAAAAUCCGUAGAGAUCAGAAGGAAUACCGAUCGCGAAGGCGAUCUACUGGAACAUUACUGACGCUGAGAUGCGAAAGCGUGGGGAGCAAACAGGAUUAGAUACCCUGGUAGUCCACGCCCUAAACGAUGCACACUAGUUGUUGCUAUGCUAGACAUAGCAGUAAUGCAGUUAACACAGUAAGUGUGCCGCCUGGGGAGUACGGUCGCAAGAUUAAAACUCAAAGGAAUAGACGGGGACCCGCACAAGCGGUGGAGCAUGUGGUUUAAUUCGACGAUACGCGAAGAACCUUACCUGGCCUUGACAUAGAAAGAACUUUCCAGAGACGGAUUGGUGCUAGUUUACUAGAGCUUUCAUACAGGUGCUGCACGGCUGUCGUCAGCUCGUGUCGUGAGAUGUUGGGUUAAGUCCCGCAACGAGCGCAACCCUCGUGUUUAGUUACUAACAGUUCGGCUGAGGACUCUAAACAGACUGCCUGGGUAACCAGGAGGAAGGUGAGGACGACGUCAAGUCAUCAUGGCCCUUACGGCCAGGGCUACACACGUGCUACAAUGGGGUAUACAAAGAGCUGCAAUACGGUGACGUGGAGCAAAUCUCAUAAAAUAUCUCCCAGUUCGGAUUGAAGUCUGCAACUCGACUUCAUGAAGUUGGAAUCGCUAGUAAUCGUAGAUCAGCAAUGCUACGGUGAAUACGUUCCCGGGUCUUGUACUCACCGCCCGUCACACCAUGGGAAUUGAAUUCAUUCGAAGCGGGGAUGCUAAAAUAGCUACCUUCCACAGUGGAUUUAGUAACUAGGGUGAAGUCGUAACAAGGUA